RNAcentral lists this ribosomal RNA (497 nucleotides) under uncultured bacterium. RNAcentral describes it as "partial 16S ribosomal RNA". It matches the Rfam family "Bacterial small subunit ribosomal RNA", at positions 28 to 507 of the family's 1533-position model. The record is from RNAcentral.
GACGAACGCUGGCGGCGUGCCUAAUACAUGCAAGUUGAGCGCUGAAGGUUGGUACUUGUACCAACUGGAUGAGCAGCGAACGGGUGAGUAACGCGUGGGGAAUCUGCCUUUGAGCGGGGGACAACAUUUGGAAACGAAUGCUAAUACCGCAUAAAAACUUUAAACACAAGUUUUAAGUUUGAAAGAUGCAAUUGCAUCACUCAAAGAUGAUCCCGCGUUGUAUUAGCUAGUUGGUGAGGUAAAGGCUCACCAAGGCGAUGAUACAUAGCCGACCUGAGAGGGUGAUCGGCCAAAUUGGGACUGAGACACGGCCCAAACUCCUACGGGAGGCAGCAGUAGGGAAUCUUCGGCAAUAGACGAAAGUCUGACCGAGCAACGCCGCGUGAGUGAAGAAGGUUUUCGGAUCGUAAAACUCUGUUGGUAGAGAAGAACGUUGGUGAGAGUGGAAAGCUCAUCAAGUGACGGUAACUACCCAGAAAGGGACGGCUAACUACGUG